This 460-nucleotide ribosomal RNA is filed under the name uncultured bacterium. Its description in RNAcentral is "partial 16S ribosomal RNA". It matches the Rfam family "Bacterial small subunit ribosomal RNA", at positions 338 to 795 of the family's 1533-position model. The record is from RNAcentral.
CCUACGGGUGGCAGCAGUGAGGAAUAUUGGUCAAUGGCCGUAAGGCUGAACCAGCCAAGUCGCGUGAAGGAAGAAGGAUCUAUGGUUUGUAAACUUCUUUUAUAGGGGAAUAAAGGUAUCCACGUGUGGAUAUUUGCAUGUACCCUAUGAAUAAGCAUCGGCUAACUCCGUGCCAGCAGCCGCGGUAAUACGGAGGAUGCGAGCGUUAUCCGGAUUUAUUGGGUUUAAAGGGAGCGUAGGUUGUUUUUUAAGUCAGCUGUGAAAGUUUGGGGCUCAACCCUGAAAUUGCAGUUGAAACUGGAAGACUUGAGUGCGUGGGAGGUAGGCGGAAUUCGUGGUGUAGCGGUGAAAUGCAUAGAUAUCACGAAGAACUCCGAUUGCGAAGGCAGCUUACUAAGCCAUAACUGACACUGAAGCUCGAAAGCGUGGGGAUCAAACAGGAUUAGAUACCCGAGUAGUC